Molecule: ribosomal RNA, 391 nt
Filed under: Centruroides nigropunctatus
Lineage: Eukaryota; Metazoa; Arthropoda; Arachnida; Scorpiones; Buthidae
Description: partial 16S ribosomal RNA
Rfam family: Archaeal large subunit ribosomal RNA
Source: RNAcentral
UCCACUGGNAUGAAAGGAUAAACUGGAAAAGUUCUUUCUUAAUCUUUCUUUUAAACUUUAUUUUUUAGUAAGAAAGCUAAAAUGUGUCUUUUAGACAAGAAGACCCUAUAAAGCUUUACAUAAAAUAAUUUAACAAAUUAAAAAUAUGUUUUACUGGGGCGGUAGAAGGAAAAACACCUUUNAGUUAUUAUAGAUAAUAUAAUCUUAAUACCCAAAAUUUUUGAAAAUUAAAUAAGUUACUUUAGGGAUAACAGCGUAAUAUGUUUUGAAAGCUCAAAUUGACAAACAUGUUUGCGACCUCGAUGUUGGAUUAGUUUUCCUUUAUUAUGCAAGAGUAUUAAUAGGAGGUCUGUUCGACCUUUAAAAGACUCCAUGAUCGGAGUCAAAUCCA